RNAcentral lists this ribosomal RNA (852 nucleotides) under Paraburkholderia caledonica. RNAcentral describes it as "bacterial SSU rRNA". It matches the Rfam family "Bacterial small subunit ribosomal RNA", at positions 48 to 899 of the family's 1533-position model. The record is from RNAcentral. Lineage: Bacteria; Pseudomonadati; Pseudomonadota; Betaproteobacteria; Burkholderiales; Burkholderiaceae.
CUUACCAUGCAGUCGAACGGCAGCACGGGAGCAAUCCUGGUGGCGAGUGGCGAACGGGUGAGUAAUACAUCGGAACGUGUCCUGGAGUGGGGGAUAGCCCGGCGAAAGCCGGAUUAAUACCGCAUACGCUCUGAGGAGGAAAGGGGGGGAUCUUAGGACCUCUCGCUCAAGGGGCGGCCGAUGGCAGAUUAGCUAGUUGGUGGGGUAAAGGCCUACCAAGGCGACGAUCUGUAGCUGGUCUGAGAGGACGACCAGCCACACUGGGACUGAGACACGGCCCAGACUCCUACGGGAGGCAGCAGUGGGGAAUUUUGGACAAUGGGCGCAAGCCUGAUCCAGCAAUGCCGCGUGUGUGAAGAAGGCCUUCGGGUUGUAAAGCACUUUUGUCCGGAAAGAAAACACGCCUGUUAAUACCGGGUGUGGAUGACGGUACCGGAAGAAUAAGCACCGGCUAACUACGUGCCAGCAGCCGCGGUAAUACGUAGGGUGCAAGCGUUAAUCGGAAUUACUGGGCGUAAAGCGUGCGCAGGCGGUUCGUUAAGACAGAUGUGAAAUCCCCGGGCUUAACCUGGGAACUGCAUUUGUGACUGGCGGACUCGAGUAUGGCAGAGGGGGGUAGAAUUCCACGUGUAGCAGUGAAAUGCGUAGAGAUGUGGAGGAAUACCGAUGGCGAAGGCAGCCCCCUGGGCCAAUACUGACGCUCAUGCACGAAAGCGUGGGGAGCAAACAGGAUUAGAUACCCUGGUAGUCCACGCCCUAAACGAUGUCAACUGGUUGUCGGGUCUUCAUUGACUUGGUAACGAAGCUAACGCGUGAAGUUGACCGCCUGGGGAGUACGGUCGCAGAUAAAUA